AAGUUCCGACCCGCACGAAAGGCGCAACGAUCUGGGCACUGUCUCAACGAGAGACUCGGUGAAAUUAUAGUACCUGUGAAGAUGCAGGUUACCCGCGACAGGACGGAAAGACCCCGUGGAGCUUUACUGCAGCCUGAUAUUGAAUGUUGGUACAGCUUGUACAGGAUAGGUAGGAGCCUUGGAAACCGGAGCGCUAGCUUCGGUGGAGGCAUCGGUGGGAUACUACCCUGGCUGUAUUGACCUUCUAACCCGCUGCCCUUAUCGGGCAGGGAGACAGUGUCAGGUGGGCAGUUUGACUGGGGCGGUCGCCUCCUAAAAUGUAACGGAGGCGCCCAAAGGUUCCCUCAGAAUGGUUGGAAAUCAUUCGCAGAGUGUAAAGGCACAAGGGAGCUUGACUGCGAGACCUACAAGUCGAGCAGGGACGAAAGUCGGGCUUAGUGAUCCGGUGGUUCCGCAUGGAAGGGCCAUCGCUCAACGGAUAAAAGCUACCCCGGGGAUAACAGGCUUAUCUCCCCCAAGAGUCCACAUCGACGGGGAGGUUUGGCACCUCGAUGUCGGCUCAUCGCAUCCUGGGGCUGUAGUCGGUCCCAAGGGUUGGGCUGUUCGCCCAUUAAAGCGGUACGCGAGCUGGGUUCAGAACGUCGUGAGACAGUUCGGUCCCUAUCCGUCGCGGGCGCAGGAAAUUUGAGAGGAGCUGUCCUUAGUACGAGAGGACCGGGAUGGACGCACCGCUGGUGUACCAGUUGUUCUGCCAAGGGCAUCGCUGGGUAGCUAUGUGCGGACGGGAUAAGUGCUGAAAGCAUCUAAGCAUGAAGCCCCCCUCAAGAUGAGAUUUCCCAUUCCGCAAGGAAGUAAGAUCCCUGAAAGAUGAUCAGGUUGAUAGGUCUGAGGUGGAAGCGUGGUGACACGUGGAGCUGACAGAUACUAAUAGAUCGAGGACUUAACCUAUA
This 950-nucleotide ribosomal RNA is filed under the name Bacillus altitudinis A23-8. Its description in RNAcentral is "partial 23S ribosomal RNA". It matches the Rfam family "Bacterial large subunit ribosomal RNA", at positions 1978 to 2925 of the family's 2925-position model. The record is from RNAcentral. Lineage: Bacteria; Bacillati; Bacillota; Bacilli; Caryophanales; Bacillaceae.